GUGCUCCCUUUGACAGCACACAUAUACUAAAAUCGGAACAAUACAGAAAUUAGCAAGAUCCAUAUAAAAAUAUGACAUGAAAAAUCAUGAAACACUGCAUUUUUUU
Molecule: small nuclear RNA, 106 nt
Organism: Dromiciops gliroides (monito del monte)
Lineage: Eukaryota; Metazoa; Chordata; Mammalia; Microbiotheria; Microbiotheriidae
Source: RefSeq, a predicted model, not a curated record